This 460-nucleotide ribosomal RNA is filed under the name uncultured bacterium. RNAcentral describes it as "partial 16S ribosomal RNA". It matches the Rfam family "Bacterial small subunit ribosomal RNA", at positions 338 to 795 of the family's 1533-position model. The record is from RNAcentral.
CCUACGGGUGGCAGCAGUGAGGAAUCUUUGUCAAUGGGCGCGAGCCUGAACCCGCCUAGUAGCGUGAAGGAUGACUGCCCUACGGGUUGUAAACUUCUUUUAUAAAGGAAUAAAGUGAGGCACGUGUGCCUUUUUGUAUGUACUUUAUGAAUAAGGAUCGGCUAACUCCGUGCCAGCAUCCGCGGUCAUAAUGAGGUUCCGAUCGUUAUCAGGAUUUAUUGGGUUUAAAGGGAGCGUAGAUGGGUUGUUAAGUCAGUUGUGAAAGUUUGCGGCUCAACCGUAAAAUUGCAAUUGAUACUGGCAGCCUUGAGGACAGUUGAGGUAGGCGGAAUUCGUGGUGUAGCGGUGAAAUGCUUAGAUAUCACGAAGAACUCCGAUUGCGAAGGCAGCUUACUAAACUGCCACUGACAUUGAUGCUCGAAAGUGUGGGUAUCAAACAGGAUUAGAUACCCCAGUAGUC